Non-coding RNA from Podarcis lilfordi (Lilford's wall lizard), 1472 nucleotides. The record is from the annotation of a GenBank genome assembly. NCBI's taxonomy places the organism in Eukaryota, Metazoa, Chordata, Lepidosauria, Squamata, Lacertidae.
GUGGACAUUUUGGAUUUAGAAGGUUUUGAUAACGUUUUUGGAUGGCAUGCAUAUUUAUGGUAUGAUAAAGUUAAAGCGCAUAAGGCCUUUAAGAACCAUAUUGUCAGGAAAGCAUUGUUUAAUGUUUGGGUGAGAUACAAGGAUUUGUUGGAAAGUAAAACACCAAGGUGGCUGUCACCAAUGGAGGCAAAGGCAUUGAAAAAAACUAAUAUGGAGACAAACUGGCCAAAAUAUUGUGAAAUUUUAGAACAAGUUGGAGAUAAAUUAAAAUUGCAGAGUUUUGACAAAUUAAAAACCAAAGUUCGAGAUUGGUUGCAUUAUUAUCAAAUAAGGGAGGUUUUUAACUUAGACAAAAAGAUUGGUUUCCAGGAGGAAAAAUCUAAACUGGAAACGGAAUUGUUAGAACCUAAAACUAAAAAUUUGUCAAGAAUGUAUAAUCUGCUGUUGAAAUGGAAUACACAGGAUGAAAUGGUUAAAUCUGUUAUGAUUAAAUGGGCGCAAGAUGUUGGGCAUAACAUUAUGUUUGCUGACUGGGAACGGUUAUGGACCACAGGUAUGAAAUUUACGGCUUGCAAUGCUUUAAGAGAAAACAUAAUGAAAAUGAUUUACAGGUGGUACUUAACCCCAGUCAAGCUAGCAAAAAUUUAUCAUUUGCCUGAUAAUAAAUGUUGGAAAUGUAAAGAAAACGAAGGUACUUUCUUUCACCUUUGGUGGACGUGCCCAAAGAUCAAGGCAUUCUGGGAAAUGAUAUAUAAUGAAUUAAAAAAGGUAUUGAAAUAUACUUUUUUAAAGAAACCAGAGGCCUUCCUCUUGGGCAUGGUCGGUCAAUUGGUGCGAAGGGAAGAUAGAACUUUUUUCAUGUAUGCGACAGCAGCAGCAAGAAUACUUAUUGGGAAAUAUUGGAAGACACAAGAAUUGCCUACCCGAGAAGAAUGGCAGAGAAAAGUGAUAGACUAUAUGGAACUGGCUGAGAUGACCGGAAGAAUUCGAGAUCAAGAAGAAGGGUCGAUGGAAGAAGAUUGGAAAAAGUUUAAAACAUAUCUUCAGAAUCACUGUAACAUAAAAGAAUGUUAGGAAAGGUUGGAGAAGAAAUAUUAGACCGUAUUGGCAGACAGAGUAUAAUGGAAUUAAGUAAAUAUGAAGUGUAAAUUAAAAGAUAGAGGAGAAUUAAAUAUUUUUGAAUGUUAAAAUGUUAAAAUAAGCAAAUGAAAAGAAGGUUAGAAGGAUUUGCUGGAGAUACAAUUUGAAUUAGAAUACAAAGCAGAGAAGUGAGAGGAAGUCACGGAAAUAAGUAAAUGGGAAAACGGUUUGUUUAAAUUGAAUUUUUCUUUUGUUAUUUUUUAUUGUGAUUUUUUGUCUUGUGUAUUUUUUUUCUUGUAUGGUGUGUCUCUUUUGUAAGAUGUAUGUGAUUGGUUUUUCUUGCUUUAUUUUUUCUUUUUUUUGUAAUCUUAAAAUUUGAAUAAAUAUUUUUU